AAGGUAGCGAAAUUCCUUGUCGGGUAAGUUCCGACCUGCACGAAUGGCGUAACGAUCUCCACACUGUCUCGGCCAGAGACUCGGUGAAAUUGAAGUCGCGGUGAAAAUGCCGUGUACCCGCAGAAAGACGGAAAGACCCUGUGCACCUUUACUAUAGCUUGACAUUGGGAUUUGAACCUGCAUGUGUAGGAUAGGUGGGAGGCUGUGAACUCUGUACGCCAGUAUGGAGGGAGCCAUUGUUGAAAUACCACCCUUGUUUUUUCAGGUCCCUAACCCUCAGCCGUAAGCCGGCGAGGGAACAGUGUCUGGUGGGUAGUUUGACUGGGGCGGUCGCCUCCUAAAAUGUAACGGAGGCAUGCAAAGGUUCCCUCAGGCUGAUUGGAAACCAGCCGUCGAGUGCAAACGCAUAAGGGAGCUUGACUGCGAGAGAGACAUCUCGAGCAGGUACGAAAGUAGGUGUUAGUGAUCCGGUGGUCCCGAAUGGAAGGGCCAUCGCUCAUUGGAUAAAAGGUACGCCGGGGAUAACAGGCUGAUCGCAUCCAAGAGUUCACAUCGACGAUGCGGUUUGGCACCUCGAUGUCGGCUCAUCACAUCCUGGGGCUGAAGCAGGUCCCAAGGGUACGGCUGUUCGCCGUUUAAAGUGGUACGCGAGCUGGGUUUAAAACGUCGUGAGACAGUUUGGUCCCUAUCUUCUGUGGGCGCUGGAGAAUUGAAAGGGCCUGUCCCUAGUACGAGAGGACCGGGAUGGACGCACCCCUGGUGGACCUGUUGUCGUGCCAACGGCAUAGCAGGGUAGCUAUGUGCGGAAGGGAUAACCGCUGAAAGCAUCUAAGCGGGAAGCCUGCCUCAAGAUAAGUUCUCCCCUCGAAAGAGCUGAAGGGCCCGGGUAGACUACCCGGUCGAUAGGCUGGAGGUGUAAGCGCGGCGACGUGCUCAGCUGACCAGUACUAAUAGCCCGAGCGGCUUAUUUUU
This 972-nucleotide ribosomal RNA is filed under the name human gut metagenome. RNAcentral's name for it is "bacterial LSU rRNA". It matches the Rfam family "Bacterial large subunit ribosomal RNA", at positions 1953 to 2925 of the family's 2925-position model. The record is from RNAcentral.